CCUUUGGGGCGGGGCGCAAUUCCCCACCGGCGGUAUAGUCCGCGAGCCUUAGGGCAUGAACCGGUGUAAUUCCGGUACCGACAGUAUAGUCUGGAUGAUAAAAGGUG
Molecule: non-coding RNA, 107 nt
Filed under: uncultured Phascolarctobacterium sp.
Lineage: Bacteria; Bacillati; Bacillota; Negativicutes; Acidaminococcales; Acidaminococcaceae
Description: FMN riboswitch (RFN element)
Rfam family: FMN riboswitch aptamer (RFN element)
About the family: The RFN element is a highly conserved domain that is found frequently in the 5'-untranslated regions of prokaryotic mRNAs that encode for flavin mononucleotide (FMN) biosynthesis and transport proteins. This element is a metabolite-dependent riboswitch that directly binds FMN in the absence of proteins.
Source: RNAcentral